RNAcentral lists this ribosomal RNA (301 nucleotides) under uncultured bacterium. RNAcentral's name for it is "partial 16S ribosomal RNA". It matches the Rfam family "Bacterial small subunit ribosomal RNA", at positions 509 to 807 of the family's 1533-position model. The record is from RNAcentral.
CAGCCGCCACGGUAAUACAGAGGGUGCGAGCGUUAAUCGGAUUUACUGGGCGUAAAGCGUGCGUAGGCGGCUUCUUAAGUCGGAUGUGAAAUCCCUGAGCUUAACUUAGGAAUUGCAUUCGAUACUGGGAAGCUAGAGUAUGGGAGAGGAUGGUAGAAUUCCAGGUGUAGCGGUGAAAUGCGUAGAGAUUUGGAGGAAUACCGAUGGCGAAGGCAGCCAUCUGGCCUAAUACUGACGCUGAGGUACGAAAGCAUGGGGAGCAAACAGGAUUAGAUACCCCGGUAGUCCCUGUCUCUUAUAC